GAUGAACGCUGGCGGCGUGCUUAAUACAUGCAAGUCGAACAAAUGGAUGUCUAGCUUGCUAGACUGAAGUUAGUGGCGAACGGGUGAGUAAUACAUAGGCAAUCUGCCCUGAAGUGUGGGAUAGCUAUUGGAAACGAUAAUUAAUACCGCAUAGGUAGUAGGAAGGCAUCUUCCUACUAUUAAAGAUGCGUUUGCAUCGCUGCAGGAUGAGCUUAUGGUGUAUUAGCUAGUUGGUGAGAUAAAAGCCCACCAAGGCUAUGAUACAUAGCUGGUCUGAGAGGAUGAACAGCCACAUUGGGACUGAGACACGGCCCAGACUCCUACGGGAGGCAGCAGUAAGGAAUAUUGGUCAAUGGGCGGAAGCCUGAACCAGCCAUGCCGCGUGAAGGACUAAGGCCCUACGGGUCGUAAACUUCUUUAGACGCAGAGCAAUAAGGUCCACGCGUGGACGACGAG
This 456-nucleotide ribosomal RNA is filed under the name uncultured bacterium. RNAcentral describes it as "bacterial SSU rRNA". It matches the Rfam family "Bacterial small subunit ribosomal RNA", at positions 28 to 473 of the family's 1533-position model. The record is from RNAcentral.